This 75-nucleotide transfer RNA is filed under the name Alphaproteobacteria bacterium MarineAlpha6_Bin1. RNAcentral's name for it is "tRNA-Thr". It matches the Rfam family "tRNA". From Rfam's summary of the family: Transfer RNA (tRNA) molecules are approximately 80 nucleotides in length. The record is from RNAcentral. Lineage: Bacteria; Pseudomonadati; Pseudomonadota; Alphaproteobacteria.
GCCGCCAUAGCUCAGUGGUAGAGCACACCAUUGGUAAUGGUGGGGUCGGUAGUUCGAUUCUACUUGGCGGCACCA